Molecule: ribosomal RNA, 253 nt
Filed under: uncultured bacterium
Lineage: Bacteria
Description: partial 16S ribosomal RNA
Rfam family: Bacterial small subunit ribosomal RNA
Source: RNAcentral
UACGUAGGGGGCAAGCGUUGUCCGGAAUCAUUGGGCGUAAAGAGCGUGUAGGCGGCCCGAUAAGUCUGCUGUGAAAGUCCAGGGCUCAACCCUGGGAUGCCGGUGGAUACUGUCGGGCUCGAGUCCGGAAGAGGAGUGUGGAAUUCCCCAAGUAGAGGUGAAAUUCGUAGAGAUGGGGAGGAACACCGGAGGCGAAGGCGGCCACCUGGGAGGUAACUGACGCUGAGACGCGAAAGCGUGGGGAGCAAACAGG